RNAcentral lists this long non-coding RNA (2428 nucleotides) under Vigna radiata. The record is from RNAcentral. Lineage: Eukaryota; Viridiplantae; Streptophyta; Magnoliopsida; Fabales; Fabaceae.
AAACUCACAUCCAAAGCUCUUCCUCCCUGUCAUUAACUUUCUACGGUUGGUUUCAGAACUCAGUGGAACUCAUGGCAGUGUCUUCAAUCUCCGUUACUGCUUCACAGCAAUUCAAUAGCUUGUAAUUCUCUUCAUUAUAAUCAGGUUAGAAUUUUGUGCUUAAUUUUACGAAUGUUCGAUUCUUAGACAGUGAAGAAGAUGAAAUACCCUGUGAGGAAGAUCUCCCAUAAUUGAUAGGAAGUGCCGUAUGACAAUCUAAACGCAGCGCCAAACGAAGAAUUUGUUCUUUGUGGCGCUGUGUGUGUGAUUUGGAACGGGUCUCUGAGGGUUUUCUAUUUAUUAAAUUGUUUUUUACUUUUUAAUCUGGUUUUUUAGGGUUAGGUCCGAUGCCACGUCGCUGGUAGCUUUAAUUCAGCGGUGACCAGUGAUGCUAUGAUUGGACCAAAAUCAAAAGUGAAUUUCGUUUGUUUCGCAUUCUGAUAGGAAUCUGUGGAUUUCAUACUUUAUGAUCUGCGGAGCCGUUUUGUGCGAUUACAUUUUUAUUGUUUGUUUGAUCUUCAUGUCGUUAGUUUCUUGAUGUUGUCAUGCCUGUGGCGAAGUCGACGAUGAUUUGUUUUAAUUGGAAUUACCGUCUGAUAUUUGAUGAGAAUUUCUGGCUGACUGAGGCUUCGCCUUUGCUAAAAAAUAUUCAACUUUUACGUUUUGAUUUACCUUUAAUGGAAUUCAUUUUUUUUUGUUGUUCUUUUAUUAUUAUUUUUAAUUUUUAAUUAUUAGAAGGUUCAGGUAAAUAUUUGUAGGGUAUUUUUUCCUCACCUUCGUAUUUUCUUUGUCCACCUCCAUGUUUAUAUUGAAAUGACUUCUUCAUACAAAAUUUAUUUAAAACCCUAAUAUUUCGCCUAAUAACUUUUUUGGAUUCUUUUUCUCAUUUUUUGCAGGAAAAGCUUUACCUCGGUGAAUAUCUUUGGCUGAGAGCUGAGAAUUUUGAAGCUUUAAUUCAAUCAUUUUUUUGAAUUUGAAUUUAGUGUUACUCUGUUUAUAUUCUCCGCAAUGAUUCUGACUGUCUUCCCUUUCGUGACACUGCGGAAUGCCUGUUCUUCAAAUAUUAAAUUCGAAGAAACCCGAAGGAACUUAAUUCGAAUAUUAAAUUUAAAAUAAAUAAAAAAUUAAAAUAAUAAAGAAUAAAUUUUGAAAAUUUAAAAUAAAACAAACAGAACAGAAAACAAAAUUAACAAAUUUUAAAUAAAAAACAACAAAAAUUUAAUAAGAACAAAAUAUAAUUAAAAUUUUUAAAAAAUAAACUAAAAUUAAAUUAAACAAUUAUAAACAAAUAAUAAAAAUUCAUAUAAUAUAUAAAAAAAGUUUUUUUUAAUAACAAUUAUUAAAUAGGCUUAAUAAUACUAAUAGUUUUCGAAAUGGUCUUAGUCUUUUUGUCUAAGGUAGUCUCAAAAAAUUUAAUAUAUACAUAAUCUGAAACUCUAAUUUCUCUCUAAUCAUCUAACCUUAGUAUCACAAUGACCAUGAUGCCCUCCAAGCGCCACAUUUUCAUCACGCAUGCUGUCACCAUACAUAUUUUAGGUAAGAGAAGAACAAAAAUUAUACAGAUUCACCCUAAAACCUAAAAACUAUGUAGUUCGAAAUGAAAAAAGAAAUUUUGAAGUGAUUCUUAUUUUGAUUAAUACCUUUAGUAGUUUCUAUACUUGUCAUGUUUCUUGGAUUAUUCAUAAGCGGUAUUCAAGCUCUCAUUUAUGCUACUUUAGUUGUGGCUUAUAUAGGUGAAUCCAUUGAAGGCCUAACACCAUGCCUUUGUGCCAUCAUCCUCUCCUUCUGUAACACCCGGGCACUGACGAGGGUGGGGAGUGAUCGCCGGUGCAAGAAGCAUGGUGCAGGGGGCACGGACAAGGAGUGACUCCUGGCAGGCUUCGAGUGGAAGGGGCACAUGGACAAAUCGAACAUACACAGGAAUGAGAGGGAUCUGGAGAUUGUAUAGGUAUGAGACUAUACAGUUGAAGGAUAACUUAAAGGAAUUGAUUUGACUACUUAUAUUAACAAAUGCAUUUGCUUUUCGGUAGCCUAACUCAUAAGAACUCCAUGGUUAAGUGUGCUUAGUAAUUAUGGGAUGGGUAACCUUCCGGGAAGUUUUCUCGGAAAGUGUGUGAGUGAGGACAAAACACACUGGAAGUUACACCUUCCACCAUCAAUCUCGGGUCAACUGUCGCAAAGCGCACUUCCACCAUCAUCAACUGCAUUAGAAACCUGGAUCAAAUCUAAUCCAGAAAACCCAACCCAAUCGUGCCUAAGAACCACCAUAUUUGGGAUUGAAAGUUAAUGAAGAUUGUGACGUGACAGUAGUUAAAUGUCAUCUUAUUAGGAUUUUGCACAGUUGGAACCAUUUUGAACAAACAAUAGAGUGUUAUUAAACCUAUUAAAU